CCUGUAUGAUGAGAUGCAAUAGACUGACUAAAUCGUGAAGGUCUGUAAUUAGCUCUACCUGAC
Molecule: small nucleolar RNA, 63 nt
Filed under: Sphenodon punctatus (tuatara)
Lineage: Eukaryota; Metazoa; Chordata; Lepidosauria; Sphenodontia; Sphenodontidae
Description: Small nucleolar RNA SNORD44 (ENSSPUG00000018540.1)
Rfam family: Small nucleolar RNA SNORD44
About the family: U44 belongs to the C/D class of snoRNA which contain the C (UGAUGA) and D (CUGA) box motifs.
Source: RNAcentral